CUCAGCCAUCAUUUUUCAAGUAUAUAGAUAUACAGAGAUAAAUAUAUGUCGCCAUAAAGAGGGAAGAAUUUAUUACAAGACCACCUAAGGGAAGUUAACAUUGCCUGGGAAUCAAAGGUUGAAAACCUGAGGGAAAUUCUCAGGUAAGGAGAAAGGGGGAGGGGGGCAGAAGAAGAAAGAGCAAGUGUUUGAAAAUACAAGGCAUAAAUAUUGACUACAUUGGUUUUGGAUAUAAGUAGGACUAUCUCGGGAUGCAACGGAAGGGGCCUAGCCCACGCCUCAGAGGUACGAAGUCCUUUAAGGUCCAGAGAGAUUCUCUCGCGUGCAGAGUUCUGGGGAUGAGAUGCAAUUCCGACCCUCUCGUGCUGCUUCGCUUUUUAGACCCAUUUCACAGGUGGAGGGGGAAAAGGGGGCGCUGUGGUGUCCACGUUUUCCAUCACUUUUCCUGGCUCCCACCCACCUCAGCCGGUCAUCUUCACUUCUCAAAAUUUUAGACUGGAUCAGGCCAAAGGCCUUAAGUCCAGCAUCCAUUUCCAAGAGUAGCCAGUUAUGACAUCUCCAAGAACCCCAGAGGCAACAAAAAAAGGCAACAGCCCACUCACCUUGUCUUUCCUCCAUUCCCACCCCCGCCAAAAAAAAUCUGGUGUUCAGCUUCUAUUCCUAACCACCAGGAGAAUUAGCUACAACCAGUUGCCAAAAACCUGCCUGAGUUUUGUAAACCGUGGUGUUCUUUUGAUUGCACUGUAUAAAUAAAUAGUAAUAAAUCUGGGGGCUGAAAUUGGCUUUUAGUGGCACAUUGUUUGGGGCAGAUUAGCUUCCUCCUGUGCAAGCCCAGUCGUUUCAGGCAAAUCAGGGCAGCGUUGUAUUUUUUAAAAGCAAGAAGUUAACGUUAAGCCUCAGUAGCCAAAAAGUGGAAGUUCCUUUGCAUAUAUUUGCAUACACGGCAGAAAUUUAUCCCACUUCUCGGCCACAUGACAGACAGCCGCUAGAAACCCUACGGACUCCCUUUUCUAGCUAAUGAGGCUUCUCCAGACUUUGCCCACAAACUUUUAAACUUUUAAACCCUUAACACACUUUGCUUUUGUCACUCAGUUUAGUUUUCUCUUUAAAAUGAAAGCUGAAUUUGAUGCCUCCCCCAAAAUGGCGGGUGAAGGAGAUUUGCCAUGGUCUAGCAAAGGAAUUUUAGCUGGACUCCUUUGCACACAGAAGGUCCAGCGUUCAACCUGGCGCCCUCAAAGUCUCGCCGGACUACGGCUCCCACCACCCCUGGCCAUUGGACAGUACCACCUGGGGCUGAUGGGAGUUGUAGUUCUGUGGUACCUGGAGGGCCAAAGGUUCCCGGCUCCAGGAGUCAGUGAUGGGGAAGAUGUUCUGCCUGGAGAGCUUCUGCUGGUCAGAGCUGGCAUUGAUGGGUGCGUGGCCUUCCUGAUGCCAUCGGACUACAACAGCUUGGACUACGACAGCUAUCAUAGAAUCACAGAAUUGUAGAGUUGGAAGGGACCCCAUCUAGUCCAACCGCCACAACGCAGGCAUCGGAACUAAAGCAUCCAUGCAUGCAUGCCUAACUCUGUCUCUCUGAAACAUCUGAAUCGGGAAUGGCUGGGAAGGCCCAGGACUGGGGCCUCGAUGCGGUGGGAGGGAGGGGGAGGGUUAAUAAAGUGAGAGGUUCUCUGGUCCAGGAAGCUGCUAAGUUGCCUGCCCUGAAUGGGGCCGCACGCUCCCUGAAGUAGCAAGUGUGUGGUUUGGAGUUUUUUAAUUCAUGUUCUGGUCUGUGUCUUUUUAAACCACCUCUCUGCUGCUGUCCUUGAAUUUCGUACAUUGCAUGCAUGGAAGGCGAUACAAUUUGGAACAAUAAUAAUGCAGUGGUACCUCGGUUUUUGAACGUAAUCCGUUCUGGAAGACCGUUGGGCUCCCAAAACGUUCAAAAACAGAGGAUCAAUGGGCUGGCUGCAAAGUCACUGGGAAGAAAUGAAAAAACGCGCCUUGGAAGCUGUUCAACUUCCAAGGCGCGUUCAAAAAUGGAAGCAAUUACUUCUGGGUUUUCGGCGUUCGGGUUCCGAAUUGUUCGGCUUCUGAGAUGCUCGAAAACCGAGGUUCCGCUGUAAUAACAACUCUGGUCGCCCCUGACCAUUGAGCCAGGCUGCCUGGGGCUGAUCUGGGAGUCCAGCCUCAUCUGUUUCCCCUCUCUGUAGUGGAAGAUACCGAACUAGACCGACUUAUAGCACGACCUGGUAUGAGGCAGCUGCCUACAGCAGGGGAAGGUUGCCAACUGUCCAAAACCAGGGCCGGCCAUUUGCAGUUCGAAGACGCGGGGUUAAUCUUCACACGAAGAAAACACAAGGAGAGCCCACUGGAUCUGACCAAGAGGGUCCAAGUCUGGCAUCCGGGUUCCCAGCCAAUCGGAUGCUUCCAGGAAGCUCCCAAGCAGGGUGUUGAAGAGACAGCCCUCCUGUAUCGCUGCCUUGCUAGAUGGGUGCAGCUGGGGGCCGGCCCCCUACCCC
This 2501-nucleotide long non-coding RNA is filed under the name Podarcis lilfordi (Lilford's wall lizard). Lineage: Eukaryota; Metazoa; Chordata; Lepidosauria; Squamata; Lacertidae. The record is from RNAcentral.